GUCGGAGGAAGGUUGGAGCUUUGAUUUCAUGGAGGCUACGGCCGGGGUCGCCGCUGGUCGCGGCGGUUCAUUGCCGAUGCCGUCUUCUCAGUCUGCGAGGAAAGAAUGGCGAGCUGUUUCGGAAAAUUCGGUUCGUAACGCAGGGAGUGAGGACGUGGUGGUGGAGCGCUCGAAGUUGGCGCAGUCGGAGGAGAGAACUAUUUAUGAGGUGCAGCAGGGAGCGGGACCACUUGAUGUCGAUUUCUGUUCGAUAACGAUGGACGGAGGUCUCGAUCACGACAUACUACAGCAACGCCUUCAUAGUAUCUCCAGACAGAGAGAAGAGCUUCAACAGAUGGAGAUCGAGCUUAAAGCUCAAGUUAUAACUAGAUCGGAGCUAAUGGAGAUGCAGAACAACUUUGAUGCCCAGAUCAAAGAACAUGCUAAUGCUGCUGCCAAACUAAAGGAACAACUACAAGAAAGGGAGCAAACCAUACAUGAGUUGGAAGUGAAGAUGGAAGAGAAGGAAAGAGAGCUGCGUGCAAUUAAAAUUGACAAUGAAGCGGCCUGGGCUAAGGAGGGCCUUCUUAGAGAACAGAACAAAGAGUUGGCAACCAUUCGAAGAGAGCGUGAGAACUCUGAAGCUGAAAGAGCACAGAAUGUCAAACAAAUACAUGAGCUUCAAGAGCAUGUUCAAGAAAAAGAUCGGCAGCUUCUGGAAAUGGAGGAACAGAAUAGGGUUGCACAGGAAGCUAUACUUUAUAAAGAUGAACAAUUAAGGGAGGCCCAAGCUUGGAUUGCACGUGUUCAGGAAAUGGAUGCCUUGCAAUCAACAACAAAUCAUUCCUUACAAACUGAGCUGAGGGAACGCACUGAACAAUUUAACCAGAUUUGGCUUGAUUGUCAAAGACAGUUUGCAGAAAUUGAGCGGAUGCGUUUGCACACCAUACAGCAGCUUCAGUUAGAAUUGAACACGGCAAGAGAAAGGAGUGGAAUUUAUAAUGAUGAAUCAAGGAUGGCUCAUACAGCUGCAAAGGAUGCAUCUCCAUUUGGACAGAACAGAGGAAACCAACUCAAUGUAAAUGAAAGUGGAACAUUAAAUGGUAAUCCUGGAGCUCCACCAAAUGGAAAUGUAGACAAUGUCGCUCCCUUUGUUGCAACUGUGAAUCCAUCAACCAAGAAUGAUCAUGUCCCUGGAGUUCCAGUUGUCCCAUCUUCGCUACUCGGGAUGGGAACCUACCUUCCACCUGGACAGAUGACAGCACUGCAUCCUUUUAUCAUGCAUCAACAAGGUGUUCCACAGUCUGUACCAUCAACUGAAUCACACGUGCCUCAAUCUAAUGUGAACCAUUUUCCGCCAGUGUCUGCAAUUUCAUCCCAUCCACACUGGCAGAAUCAGCAGGCUGUAUCUGAGGGUUCAGAGAUGUCAAAUCAGAACCAAUAUCCAUCCCAAACAGAACAGAACCUUUUGAGGCCCGAUGCUCGUUACGAUUACGAACUUAGUGGAAAUGGUCAAGUUCUCCAUUCAGACUAUCUGGAUUCUCAUAUCAGCUCAAACCAGGAGACUGGUUCUGUAAUCACUUCAUCCAGUGAGGAAGCACAGGUUCAUGAAUCAAGUGCUACAGGCUACUUGAUGCAACAACGACAGAACUCGCAAGAAAGCUCUUCCCAGUUGCAUGAUGCAUCAACAUUGGAACCUCCUGAACAGAAGACUGAGACCAAGGAUGAAAACAUCACAGAAGCCAACCAUUCACAUGAUGGUCAGUGUACUACUGUAGAACAAUCAUGGUCAGCAGUUCAUACACCACCAUUAGAUACCCCAAGCCACCCAGUUAAUUCCAGUGAAACCACGGAGUUGCAUAUGGUUGCGCCUGAAGCUUCCAUUUCUGCUGGACGGGCCUCAAAAUUGCUGACACCAGGAAAGAUUGCUGAACCUACUCUUCUAGAUGAAAAAUCACUGUUGGCUUGCAUUGUUCGUGCAAUUCCUGCUGGAUCGGGUGGCAGAAUUAGAAUUAGUUCGACUCUACCAAAUAGACUUGGAAAGAUGCUAGCUCCUCUCCAUUGGCAUGAUUAUAAGAAAAAAUACGGAAAGCUUGAUGACUUUGUGGCUGGUCAUCCUGAACUAUUUGUAAUUGAAGGGGACUUCAUUCAGCUUCGUGAAGGAGCACAAGAAAUCAUUUCAGCUACUGCUGCUGUUGCCAAAGUUGCUGCAGCAGCUGCGGUUUCUGCUCCUUAUUCAUCACUGCUGCCCGCUGUCGCUGUUACUCCUAUGGCUCAGACUCAUCGUUUAAAGAAGGUUCCAUCCAUUGGCGCCAAGCCUGGGAAGGCUGUUUCUGUUGAAACAACUCCCGCAGAUAUGUCCAAUAAGCCUUCACAAUAUUCAGUCAUGCAGAAUCAGCAUUCAAAUGGUGUCUGUUUUAACAUUGUACAAGGUCUCUCGAAUGUAAAAAUUUUGAGCAAACCUAAAGAUGUCCUGGAAUUAAAUGGCUAUCAAUCUGAGAUUAGGACUGGCCAUGCUUCUGUGCAUUUAUCAGUUGGAAAUGGAGCAAAUCCUGACACAACUGUUUUAGCUAGCUUUCCAAACAAAGGAUCAAGUAAUGGGAGACAUGGCCCAAAUUUUGGAGGGAAGCAACAGGGAAGGUAGUAAAGAGUUUUCAUUGAGCCCUGGAUUGAAGCUUGGGCUUUAUAUUUUAAAGUUGUUAUAAACAUACUUAAUUGAUUGUUUGAUUCUUUGACAGGGCAACUGGUGCUGCCUUGACAUCUAGAAGAUAGAAACAAAUUAGAUGCCAUGAAGACACAUUAUUUAUAAUGAAACUGAGUCAUCCACUGCUUGCUUGGAUUGGUUAAGUGCGGAGUGUUUUGGGAUGACAAAAUUUGGAGGUUGAUAUCUUUAGGUUGGAGUUCUUGGCUCUACCAUAGAUUAUUCAUUUUGGGAUGGCCUGUUGGUUAAUUUUUAUCUUAUGUAAAGUCAUUUUAAUCUUCA
This is an RNA transcript of Telopea speciosissima, 2962 nucleotides long. It is a transcript of the gene named epidermal growth factor receptor substrate 15 homolog, with no coding region annotated. The transcript is spliced from 16 exons. The record is from RefSeq and is a predicted model, not a curated record. Lineage: Eukaryota; Viridiplantae; Streptophyta; Magnoliopsida; Proteales; Proteaceae.